Molecule: ribosomal RNA, 484 nt
Filed under: uncultured bacterium
Lineage: Bacteria
Description: partial 16S ribosomal RNA
Rfam family: Bacterial small subunit ribosomal RNA
Source: RNAcentral
AUUGAACGCUGGCGGCAUGCUUUACACAUGCAAGUCGAACGGCAGCGCGGGCUUCGGCCUGGCGGCGAGUGGCGAACGGGUGAGUAAUGCAUCGGAACGUGCCCAGUAGUGGGGGAUAGGCCGGCGAAAGCCGGAUUAAUACCGCAUACGACCUGAGGGUGAAAGCGGGGGACCGAAAGGCCUCGCGCUAUUGGAGCGGCCGAUGUCGGAUUAGCUAGUUGGUGGGGUAAAGGCUUACCAAGGCGACGAUCCGUAGCUGGUCUGAGAGGACGACCAGCCACACUGGAACUGAGACACGGCCCAGACUCCUACGGGAGGCAGCAGUGGGGAAUUUUGGACAAAGGGGGCAACCCUGAUCCAGCCAUGCCGCGUGCGGGAAGAAGGCCUUCGGGUUGUAAACCGCUUUUGUUCGGGAAGAAAUCCUCUGGGCUAAUACCCCGGGGGGAUGACGGUACCGGAAGAAUAAGCACCGGCUAACUACGUG